GUGGCUAAUACUCGAUGGUCUCGAUAAUUCGGUUUAUCGAGUAAAGGCUCUGGCGCUUUGAGAGGGACCUGCGGCCCAUCAGCUAGUUGGUAGGGUAACGGCCUACCAAGGCGAAGACGGGUAGGGGGCGUGAGAGCGUGACCCCCCACACUGGCACUGGGACACGGGCCAGACUCCUACGGGAGGCAGCAGUGAGGAAUAUUGCGCAAUGAGCGAAAGCUAGACGCAGCAACGCCGCGUGGGUGAUGAAGGCCUUCGGGUCGUAAAACCCUUUUCUGGGGGAAGAGUAAGGACGGUACCCCAGGAAUAAGCCUCGGCUAACUAUGUGCCAGCAGCCGCGGUAAUACAUAGGAGGCAAGCGUUAUCCGGAUUUACUGGGCGUAAAGAGCGUUGAGGCGGCUUCGUAAGUUGGACGUGAAAGCUCCCGGCUUAACUGGGAGAGGCCGUUCAAUACUGCGGGGCUUGAGGGCAGCAGAGGGGGGUGGAAUUUCCGGUGUAAUGGUGAAAUGCGUAGAUAUCGGAAGGAACACCAGUGGCGAAGGCGGCCCCCUGGGCUGCUCCUGACGCUGAAGGCGAAAGCUAGGGGAGCGAACGGGAUUAGAAACCCCGGUAGUCCUAGCCGUAAACGAUGGAUACUAGGUGUAGGAGGUUAAAAUUCCUUCUGUGCCGGAGCUAACGCGUUAAGUAUCCCGCCUGGGGAGUACGGUCGCAAGGCUAAAACUCAAAGGAAUUGACGGGGGCCCGCACAAGCAGCGGAGCGUGUGGUUUAAUUCGAUGCAACACGAAGAACCUUACCAGGGCUUGACAUGUAGGCAGUAGUGAAGCGAAAGCGGAACGAUCCUUCGGGAAGCCUACACAGGUGCUGCAUGGCUGUCGUCAGCUCGUGCCGUGAGGUGUUAGGUUAAGUCCUGUAACGAGCGCAACCCCUGCCGUUAGUUACAAGUGUCUAACGGGACUGCCCGGCAAAACUGGGAGGAAGGUGGGGAUGACGUCAAGUCAGCAUGGCCUUUAUGUCCUGGGCUACACACACGCUACAAUGGCCGGUACAAUGGGUUGCCAAGCCGCGAGGCGGAGCCAAUCCUCUAAAGCCGGUCUCAGUUCGGAUUGUAGGCUGCAACCCGCCUGCAUGAAGUUGGAGUUGCUAGUAACCGCAGGUCAG
This 1159-nucleotide ribosomal RNA is filed under the name uncultured organism. RNAcentral describes it as "bacterial SSU rRNA". It matches the Rfam family "Bacterial small subunit ribosomal RNA", at positions 159 to 1352 of the family's 1533-position model. The record is from RNAcentral.